GUCGUGUCAUUGCAUGUAGGACCUACCAAGUCUCUGUACCUGCCGGCGCCACUCCUGCAGAAGGGACUUAACGCGGUGGUGGUGUUCGAGCAGUACACAGCGCCCAAGGAAGUUCGUUUCAGCGACGUUCCCAUACUGUCUUAAACCCCUGUCAAUGUCUGUUUGUCUGUCUCGAUAAUUAUGUCUUAACAAAUACAAGUUAAAUAAUAAAUGCUACUUUGAUUCAAAACUUUAAAA
Homarus americanus (American lobster) is the source of this 237-nucleotide long non-coding RNA. RefSeq lists it as uncharacterized. The transcript is spliced from 2 exons. The record is from RefSeq and is a predicted model, not a curated record. NCBI's taxonomy places the organism in Eukaryota, Metazoa, Arthropoda, Malacostraca, Decapoda, Nephropidae.